This 46-nucleotide unclassified non-coding RNA is filed under the name synthetic construct. The record is from RNAcentral.
GCUCGAGCAAGCCUGAUGAGGCGCUUCGGCGCCGAAACACCGUGUC